Molecule: ribosomal RNA, 479 nt
Filed under: uncultured bacterium
Lineage: Bacteria
Description: partial 16S ribosomal RNA
Rfam family: Bacterial small subunit ribosomal RNA
Source: RNAcentral
GAUGAACGCUGGCGGCGUGCUUAACACAUGCAAGUCGAACGGUGAAGCAGGAGCUUGCUCUUGUGGAUCAGUGGCGAACGGGUGAGUAACACGUGAGCAACCUGCCCCUGACUCUGGGAUAAGCGCUGGAAACGGCGUCUAAUACUGGAUAUGUGAUGUGACCGCAUGGUCUGCAUCUGGAAAGAAUUUCGCUUCGGGAGGGGCCUGCGUAGCAUUGGCUAGUUGGUGAGGUAAAAGCUCACCAAGGCGACGAUGUUUAGCUGGUGUGAGAGGAUGAUCAGCCACACUGGGACUGAGAUACGGCCCAGACUCCUACGGGAGGCAGCAGUGAGGAAUAUUCCACAAUGGGGGAAACCCUGAUGGAGCGAUGCCGCGUGCAGGAAGACGCUUUUCGGAGUGUAAACUGCUUUUAAUAGGGAAGAUUAUGACGGUACCGAUAGAAUAAGGACCGGCUAACUACGUGCCAGCAGCCGCCGUAA